Molecule: long non-coding RNA, 626 nt
Filed under: Homo sapiens (human)
Lineage: Eukaryota; Metazoa; Chordata; Mammalia; Primates; Hominidae
Description: non-protein coding lnc-SHC3-8:3
Source: RNAcentral
ACUCCUCCAGCUCCCCACCUCCCGCUCAAGCCGCCUGGUCUCCGUGCGCCCCGCCCGCCCCUAGCCUGGACCCCUUCUCCCCGACCCUACCAAUCCCCUAGGGUCCGGCUCGCCCUUCGGCCCCUGUUCCCAGGCCGGCCUCCAGACCUUGUCCUCAUCGGGCGAGCUCCAGGUGCAGAAACCGGGCGCCCAGAGACCCAGCGGGAACAGGCUUGGAACCAGGUCCGAGGUCUGGGCUUGGGCGGGCGCCUGUCGCCCUGACAGCGAGGGUUUGUUUGGGCCGAUUCUUAAUAGGAGGAUUAAUACUAUCAUUAUCGUUGUCCAGAUCCUGACCAUUUCUUUUGUAACUGGCCGAGCACCGGCUUGGGCUUGCAGGUGGGCGCCUGGCGCCGGACAGCGUUUUUGUUUGGGCUUCUUCCUUUUCCGCGCGGGUCCCCUCCGGCGCCUGCCUGGUCCCUCUCCGCGCUCUACCCCCAGGCACGCAGAGACUUGGGCUCCAGGCGGGGGCAGCACUCUCCCCCAGCCUCUGCUGGUGCACCAGAGCCCACUCCGGCACAGAGCAGCGCCCCUCCUAGACCGGCAGCCAGCAGAUCUCAGCCGACCCCCAUGCGACCCCCUUCCUCACG